GGCGGCAUGCCUAACACAUGCAAGUCGAACGCCUGUAGCAAUACAGGAGUGGCGCACGGGUGAGUAACGCGUGGGAACCUGCCCCGAGGUGGGGGGUAACCGAUGGAAACGUCGGCUAAUACCGCAUACGACCUAAGGGUGAAAGAUUUAUCGCCUUGGGAGGGGCCCGCGUCGGAUUAGCUAGUUGGUGGGGUAACGGCCUACCAAGGCGAUGAUCCGUAGCUGGUCUGAGAGGAUGAUCAGCCACACUGGGACUGAGACACGGCCCAGACUCCUACGGGAGGCAGCAGUGGGGAAUAUUGGACAAUGGGCGCAAGCCUGAUCCAGCAAUGCCGCGUGAGUGAUGAAGGCCUUAGGGUUGUAAAGCUCUUUCGGCGGGGACGAUAAUGACGGUACCCGCAGAAGAAGCCCCGGCUAACUUCGUGCCAGCAGCCGCGGUAAUACGAAGGGGGCAAGCGUUGUUCGGAAUUACUGGGCGUAAAGGGCGCGCAGGCGGCUCGUUAAGUCAGAUGUGAAAGCCCCGGGCUCAACCUGGGAAUAGCAUUUGGGACUGAUGGGCUA
This 561-nucleotide ribosomal RNA is filed under the name uncultured Alphaproteobacteria bacterium. Its description in RNAcentral is "bacterial SSU rRNA". It matches the Rfam family "Bacterial small subunit ribosomal RNA", at positions 38 to 643 of the family's 1533-position model. The record is from RNAcentral. Lineage: Bacteria; Pseudomonadati; Pseudomonadota; Alphaproteobacteria.